Molecule: long non-coding RNA, 654 nt
Filed under: Gallus gallus (chicken)
Lineage: Eukaryota; Metazoa; Chordata; Aves; Galliformes; Phasianidae
Source: RNAcentral
CCCACCGCUACUUGCCGGCCCUGUCGCUCUGCGGAAAGGUCUGCGGGGCGCUGCCGAAGCGCUGUAUCACUGUGAAACAAGCAACGUGACAUAAGAAACAUUAUCAGAGAAUAAACUGAGGACCCAAAGUUAUACCCAUACUGACCUUCUAAAGUCUUAAUUCCUUCCUCAACGAACUUCCUAGCAGCAGCAGGACUGCAAAAAGGGCAAAGCAAUGUGCAAUUACGAACAGCAGGAAUCUUACAACGCUGCAAAGGACAUUAGAAUUCACUCAAACUGCCUAGAUUCUUCAAGGUCAAGAUUAAAGUUGCUUAUAAUGCUUAUCAUCCUUUUGUCACAUGCUUUUUCAAUUUUUAUUUUCAAGCAACACAGACAACUACCCAAGGCUCUGCCCGCACAUUUUUAGCAUUGAUGGAACUAUAUACUGAUGUAUGAUUUUAAAAAGUAAACAAACAAAAUCUCACCGAACAGCCAAUUCAGCUUUAGACAAUACCAGUAUGUAACUGACGGCACAAGAACUACAUCAACUAUAAACAGCCUCUGAGCCAACUUAAGGCUACAACGUAAGUGUCUUUAGACUAGAACUUGAAAACAAACAAAAAUCCACACAAGACUCUAGCUUGCAACCUAAAGUACAGAAAAACAACUUGGCUG